Coturnix japonica (Japanese quail) is the source of this 1209-nucleotide non-coding RNA. The record is from RefSeq and is a predicted model, not a curated record. Lineage: Eukaryota; Metazoa; Chordata; Aves; Galliformes; Phasianidae.
UUGGGUCCAGUCUUGUUCAACAUCUUCAUCAACAUGGAUGAAGGAACAGAGUCCACCCUCAUAAAUUUUCCUGCUAAAGCAAAGCUGUGAAGGUUGGCUGACACACUGGAAGGCUGUGCUUCCAUUCAGUGAAACCUGGACAGACUGGAGAGAGCAGGGAGGAACUGAUGAGCAGGAGUGAAGUCUUGCACCCGAGGAGGAAUCACCGCAUGCAUCAGUACAGAUCCUGGCAGAUCUAGCAGAGGAGUAUCCAUGCUUUAAACUCAUAGAGGAGUCACUUCCAUCAAUUAUUUUCUGCACAGAAAUGUUAAUAUCUAAACACGGGGAAGAACUGGAAUCCUGUGCUCUGUAGGGCAGCACAUCAGCAUAUCACCUUGUUGGGAGCACAGCUGCAGGGAGAUGAUGUUCUUUCACCACAUUGCUCUUUGGUGGGUGCAAGACUGAUGCUGCUCAGAUACAAGAUGAAUAAACAGCAUGUGACAGCUAUAUAAAACUGGAAAAGUUUCUCUUCUGAGAAUUGGGACAGUAAAAAAGGUGAUAUUCACUGGGAGCAGAAGAUUGAUAAUGAUUGCUUCUUUGUGGAGUUCUGGUGUCAAGCCUCAAUGUUUUCCAUCUUGUCUGAAGGCCUCAGAGUUGGCAUUUUAAGCCAACACGAUGGCCAUGGGCUGCCUCCUCCAGUAUCUGCCCUUGUUCUCGUGCUCCUAAGCAAAACCAGGAAACAGCACUGGUCAUCACCAUGUCUGCUAAACAAAUAUGACUUUCUCUCCUUUGACAACAAAAAUCACCUGCACCAGACACCAAAGCAAUGCUGCAGAGCAGCUGAAACAUGCGGCCAAAACUCUCCUUGAGAACAAAGGCAAAAUGGAGCUUCAACAAGGCUGAGAUCUCAGGUAAAGCUUCUCACUCCAGAUAUGCCUAUGGUGGGAUGUUGCUCACAGGAGCAGAGUGUUUGAGCCAGACUGGGUACCGUGAGACCUUCCUGACAAGCCAAAAGGCUGUGCUGCCACUCAACAGGUCCUGGACAGGAUGGAGAGUUGAACAGAAAGGAAACUGAUGAGAGUCAGCAAGUACAAAUGUAGAGUCCUACACCUGGGAAGGAACAACUGCAUGCAACAGUUUGGCCAUGACCCAGCAGUGUGCCCUGGUGGCCAAGAAGACCGAUGGCAUUCUGGGGUGCAUUACAAAGAGCAUGGCCAACAGGACAAGGGA